RNAcentral lists this ribosomal RNA (465 nucleotides) under uncultured bacterium. RNAcentral's name for it is "partial 16S ribosomal RNA". It matches the Rfam family "Bacterial small subunit ribosomal RNA", at positions 28 to 507 of the family's 1533-position model. The record is from RNAcentral.
GACGAACGCUGGCGGCGUGCUUAACACAUGCAAGUCGUACGGUAAGGCCCUUUCGGGGGUACACGAGUGGCGAACGGGUGAGUAACACGUGAGUAACCUGCCCACAACUUUGGGAUAACGCUAGGAAACUGGUGCUAAUACUGGAUAUGUGCUCCUGCUGCAUGGUGGGGGUUGGAAAGCUCCGGCGGUUGUGGAUGGACUCGCGGCCUAUCAGCUUGUUGGUGGGGUAGUGGCCUACCAAGGCGGCGACGGGUAGCCGGCCUGAGAGGGUGACCGGCCACCGUUGGACUGAGAUACGGCCCAGACUCCCACGGGGGGCAGCAGUGGGGAAUAUUUCACAAUGGGCGCCAGCCUGAUGCAGCAACGCCGCGUGCGGGAUGACGGGCUUCGGGUUGGAAACCGCUUUCAGCAGGGACGAAGCUUUUUGUGACGGUACCUGCAGAAGAAGCACCGGCUAACUACGUG